UGAAUACGAGACGCUAAGGCGUCGAAGUAGUGUAUGUCAUACUUCCAAGAAAAGCUUGCACUGUCAUAGAUAAAAAACGCCUGUACCAUAACCGACACAGGUGGGUAGGUAGAGUAUACUAAGGGGCGCGAGAUAACUCUCUCUAAGGAACUCGGCAAAAUAACUCCGUAACUUCGGGAGAAGGAGUGCCUUAUUCGUAAGGUUGCAAUAACAAGAUCCAAGCAACUGUUUAUCAAAAACACAGGUCUCCGCUAAGUCGUAAGACGAUGUAUGGGGGCUGACGCCUGCCCAGUGCCAGAAGGUUAAAGAAGUUGGUUAGCAAUUGCGAAGCUGAUAACUGAAGCCCUGGUGAACGGCGGCCGUAACAAUAACGGUCCUAAGGUAGCGAAAUUCCUUGUCGGGUAAGUUCCGACCCGCACGAAAGGCGUAAUGAUUUGGAUACUGUCUCGGAGAGGGGCUCGGUGAAAUAGACUUGUCUGUGAAGAUGCGGACUACCUGCACCAGGACAGAAAGACCCUAUGAAGCUUUACUGUAACUUGAAAUUGAAAUUGGACUUUAUUCGCGCAGUAUAGGUGGGAGGCGUUGAUUAUAAUCUUGUGGGAUUAUUGGAGCCAUCAGUGAGAUACCACUCUUGUAAUGUUAGAUUUCUAACUUAAAUCAUUAUCUGGUCAAAGAACAGUUUCAGGCGGGCAGUUUGACUGGGGCGGUCGCCUCCUAAACGGUAACGGAGGCGUACAAAGGUUUCCUCUGAACGGUUAGAAAUCGUAUCUAGAGUGUAAAGGCAUAAGGAAGCUUGACUGUGAGACCUACUAGUCGAGCAGGGACGAAAGUCGGUCUUAGUGAUCUGACGGUACUGAGUGGAAAGGCCGUCACUCAACGGAUAAAAGUUACUCUAAGGAUAACAGGCUGAUCUCCCCCAAGAGUUCACAUCGACGGGGAGGUUUGGCACCUUGAUGUCGGCUCAUCGCAUCCUGGGGCGGUAGUACGUCCCAAGGGUUGGGCUGUUCGCCCAUGAAAGCGGUACGCGAGCUGGGUUCAGAACGUCGUGAGACAGUUCGGUCCAUAUCCGGUGUAGGCGUUAGAAUAUUGAGAGGAGCCUUCUUUAGUACGAGAGGACCGAGAAGGACGUACCUCUGGUGUACCAGUUAUCGUGCCAACGGUAAACGCUGGGUAGCUAUGUAAGGAGUGGAUAACCGCUGAAAGCAUCUAAGUGGGAAGCCCACCUCAAGAUAAGUAUUC
This 1239-nucleotide ribosomal RNA is filed under the name metagenome. Its description in RNAcentral is "bacterial LSU rRNA". It matches the Rfam family "Bacterial large subunit ribosomal RNA", at positions 1564 to 2813 of the family's 2925-position model. The record is from RNAcentral.